Molecule: ribosomal RNA, 1524 nt
Filed under: Salmonella enterica
Lineage: Bacteria; Pseudomonadati; Pseudomonadota; Gammaproteobacteria; Enterobacterales; Enterobacteriaceae
Description: partial 23S ribosomal RNA
Source: RNAcentral
AGCGGGUGAAAAGCCCGCUCGCCGGAAGACCAAGGGUUCCUGUCCAACGUUAAUCGGGGCAGGGUGAGUCGACCCCUAAGGCGAGGCCGAAAGGCGUAGUCGAUGGGAAACGGGUUAAUAUUCCCGUACUUGGUGUUACUGCGAAGGGGGGACGGAGAAGGCUAUGUUGGCCGGGCGACGGUUGUCCCGGUUUAAGCGUGUAGGUGUGUGUUCCAGGUAAAUCCGGUUCACUUUAACACUGAGGCGUGACGACGAGGCACUACGGUGCUGAAGCAACAAAUGCCCUGCUUCCAGGAAAAGCCUCUAAGCAUCAGGUAACAUCAAAUCGUACCCCAAACCGACACAGGUGGUCAGGUAGAGAAUACCAAGGCGCUUGAGAGAACUCGGGUGAAGGAACUAGGCAAAAUGGUGCCGUAACUUCGGGAGAAGGCACGCUGACAUGUAGGUGAAGUGAUUUACUCAUGGAGCUGAAGUCAGUCGAAGAUACCAGCUGGCUGCAACUGUUUAUUAAAAACACAGCACUGUGCAAACACGAAAGUGGACGUAUACGGUGUGACGCCUGCCCGGUGCCGGAAGGUUAAUUGAUGGGGUCAGCGCAAGCGAAGCUCCUGAUCGAAGCCCCGGUAAACGGCGGCCGUAACUAUAACGGUCCUAAGGUAGCGAAAUUCCUUGUCGGGUAAGUUCCGACCUGCACGAAUGGCGUAAUGAUGGCCAGGCUGUCUCCACCCGAGACUCAGUGAAAUUGAACUCGCUGUGAAGAUGCAGUGUACCCGCGGCAAGACGGAAAGACCCCGUGAACCUUUACUAUAGCUUGACACUGAACAUUGAGCCUUGAUGUGUAGGAUAGGUGGGAGGCUUUGAAGUGUGGACGCCAGUCUGCAUGGAGCCGRCCUUGAAAUACCACCCUUUAAUGUUUGAUGUUCUAACGUGGACCCGUGAUCCGGGUUGCGGACAGUGUCUGGUGGGUAGUUUGACUGGGGCGGUCUCCUCCUAAAGAGUAACGGAGGAGCACGAAGGUUGGCUAAUCCUGGUCGGACAUCAGGAGGUUAGUGCAAUGGCAUAAGCCAGCUUGACUGCGAGCGUGACGGCGCGAGCAGGUGCGAAAGCAGGUCAUAGUGAUCCGGUGGUUCUGAAUGGAAGGGCCAUCGCUCAACGGAUAAAAGGUACUCCGGGGAUAACAGGCUGAUACCGCCCAAGAGUUCAUAUCGACGGCGGUGUUUGGCACCUCGAUGUCGGCUCAUCACAUCCUGGGGCUGAAGUAGGUCCCAAGGGUAUGGCUGUUCGCCAUUUAAAGUGGUACGCGAGCUGGGUUUAGAACGUCGUGAGACAGUUCGGUCCCUAUCUGCCGUGGGCGCUGGAGAACUGAGGGGGGCUGCUCCUAGUACGAGAGGACCGGAGUGGACGCAUCACUGGUGUUCGGGUUGUCAUGCCAAUGGCACUGCCCGGUAGCUAAAUGCGGAAGAGAUAAGUGCUGAAAGCAUCUAAGCACGAAACUUGCCCCGAGAUGAGUUCUCCCUGAGACUU